CCAAAAUACCCCUCCGCCCUCUUCAUUGUUGCUUCGUCUUCCUCCGCCUUCCUCUGCCUCGCCGCCUUGCCGCCUCGCCUACCUCCAUUGCCUCGCCCUCGCCCACAUCACCGUCCGCACCCACAAACACCCCUUCGCCCUCCUCCGCCGCCUCGCCUUCGCCCUCGUUGUCGUUACCCACCUCUCUAUCCACCCCUACCUUCGAUUUCUACCCUACUGUCGCCGGAAUCGAGGGGUGGCGAGAGUGCAGGAGGAAGAUGAGGCGUGAACCGCGGAGAAACCGAGGCCGAUCGAGGCAUGAACCGCAGCCGAUCGAGGCUACUAUUGGGAAAGAUAAG
Molecule: long non-coding RNA, 338 nt
Filed under: Ananas comosus (pineapple)
Lineage: Eukaryota; Viridiplantae; Streptophyta; Magnoliopsida; Poales; Bromeliaceae
Description: long non-coding RNA (ACOM_LNC039899)
Source: RNAcentral